UACGUAGGGUGCAAGCGUUAAUCGGAAUUACUGGGCGUAAAGCGCGCGCAGGCGGCUAUGCAAGUCAGAUGUGAAAUCCCCGGGCUCAACCUGGGAACUGCAUUUGUGACUGCAUGGCUAGAGUACGGUAGAGGGGGAUGGAAUUCCGCGUGUAGCAGUGAAAUGCGUAGAUAUGCGGAGGAACACCAGUGGCGAAGGCGACUACCUGGGCUGUUUCUUGACGCUGAGGCGCGAAAGCGAGGGGAGCAAACGGG
RNAcentral lists this ribosomal RNA (254 nucleotides) under uncultured bacterium. Its description in RNAcentral is "partial 16S ribosomal RNA". It matches the Rfam family "Bacterial small subunit ribosomal RNA", at positions 524 to 776 of the family's 1533-position model. The record is from RNAcentral.